Molecule: non-coding RNA, 90 nt
Organism: Mycena vulgaris
Lineage: Eukaryota; Fungi; Basidiomycota; Agaricomycetes; Agaricales; Mycenaceae
Source: the annotation of a GenBank genome assembly
UCGGACGUGGUGCACGGCGCACACCCGCUCUUCUUAUGGUUGACAAAUAGGUGAAAGUGGGAGGCCUGGGUUCGACUCCCAGCUUCCGAA